This 212-nucleotide ribosomal RNA is filed under the name uncultured bacterium. RNAcentral's name for it is "partial 16S ribosomal RNA". It matches the Rfam family "Bacterial small subunit ribosomal RNA", at positions 1289 to 1500 of the family's 1533-position model. The record is from RNAcentral.
CAGUUCAGAUUGCAGGCUGCAACUCGCCUGCAUGAAGUCGGAAUUGCUAGUAAUCGUAGGUCAGCAUACUACGGUGAAUACGUUCCCGGGCCUUGUACACACCGCCCGUCAAACCAUGAGAGUUGGCAACACCCGAAGUCGGUAGUCUAACCGCAAGGAGGACGCCGCCGAAGGUGGGGUUGAUGAUUAGGGUUAAGUCGUAACAAGGUACC